RNAcentral lists this ribosomal RNA (777 nucleotides) under uncultured bacterium. RNAcentral's name for it is "bacterial SSU rRNA". It matches the Rfam family "Bacterial small subunit ribosomal RNA", at positions 31 to 799 of the family's 1533-position model. The record is from RNAcentral.
GAACGCUGGCGGUAUGCUUAACACAUGCAAGUCGAACGGAAACGAUACUAGCUUGCUAGUAGGCGUCGAGUGGCGGACGGGUGAGUAACGCGUAGGAAUCUGCCUGAUAGUGGGGGAUAGCCCGGAGAAAUUCGGAUUAAUACCGCAUAAUCUAUUCGUAGUAAAGUGGGGGACUUUCGAGCCUCACGCUAUCAGAUGAGCCUGCGUAAGAUUAGCUUGUUGGUAGGGUAAAAGCCUACCAAGGCGACGAUCUUUAGCUGGUCUGAGAGGAUGAUCAGCCACAUCGGGACUGAGACACGGCCCGAACUCCUACGGGAGGCAGCAGUGGGGAAUAUUGGACAAUGGGGGCAACCCUGAUCCAGCAAUACCGCGUGUGUGAAGAAGGCCUGAGGGUUGUAAAGCACUUUCAAUUGUGAAGAAAAGUUAACGGUUAAUAACCGUUAGCCUUGACGUUAACUUUAGAAGAAGCACCGGCUAACUCCGUGCCAGCAGCCGCGGUAAUACGGAGGGUGCAAGCGUUAAUCGGAAUUACUGGGCGUAAAGCGUGCGUAGGUGGUUUAUUAAGUCAGAUGUGAAAGCCCCGGGCUUAACCUGGGAACUGCAUUUGAAACUGGUAAACUAGAGUAUGGUAGAGGAAAGUGGAAUUUCUGGUGUAGCGGUGAAAUGCGUAGAUAUCAGAAGGAACAUCAAUGGCGAAGGCAGCUUUCUGGACCAAUACUGACACUGAGGUACGAAAGCGUGGGUAGCAAACAGGAUUAGAUACCCUGGUAGUCCACG